GGAAUAUAAGACCCCGUCUCUUAACUUUUAACUAAAAAAGUUAAGAACCGGUUCUUAAAUAAGAUAUUUAAGAACCGGCUCUUAGCUUUUUUUAGUUAAAAGUUAAGAGAUUGAGUCUUAUAUUCC
Brassica napus (rape) is the source of this 126-nucleotide non-coding RNA. The record is from Rfam. Lineage: Eukaryota; Viridiplantae; Streptophyta; Magnoliopsida; Brassicales; Brassicaceae.